This 373-nucleotide ribosomal RNA is filed under the name uncultured bacterium. RNAcentral's name for it is "bacterial SSU rRNA". It matches the Rfam family "Bacterial small subunit ribosomal RNA", at positions 143 to 507 of the family's 1533-position model. The record is from RNAcentral.
AUAACGUAGCGAAAGCUACGCUAAUACCGGCAUACGAUCUAUGGAUGAAANCGGGGGAUCGCAAGACCUCGCGCGAUUGGGAGCGGCCGAUAUCAGAUUAGGUAGUUGGUGAGGUAAAGGCUCACCAAGCCGACGAUCUGUAGCUGGUCUGAGAGGACGACCAGCCACACUGGGACUGAGACACGGCCCAGACUCCUACGGGAGGCAGCAGUGGGGAAUUUUGGACAAUGGGGCGCAAGCCUGGAUCCAGCAAUGCCGCGUGCAGGAUGAAGGCCUUCGGGUUGUAAACUGCUUUUGUACGGAACGAAACGGUGAGCUCUAAUACAGUUUGCUAAUGACGGUACCGUAAGAAUAAGCACCGGCUAACUACGUG